This 827-nucleotide ribosomal RNA is filed under the name uncultured Bacillus sp. RNAcentral's name for it is "bacterial SSU rRNA". It matches the Rfam family "Bacterial small subunit ribosomal RNA", at positions 132 to 944 of the family's 1533-position model. Lineage: Bacteria; Bacillati; Bacillota; Bacilli; Caryophanales; Bacillaceae. The record is from RNAcentral.
GUAAGACUGGGAUAACUCCGGGAAACCGGAGCUAAUACCGGAUAGUUCCUUGAACCGCAUGGUUCAAGGAUGAAAGGCGGUUUCGGCUGUCACUUACAGAUGGACCCGCGGCGCAUUAGCUAGUUGGUGGGGUAAUGGCUCACCAAGGCGACGAUGCGUAGCCGACCUGAGAGGGUGAUCGGCCACACUGGGACUGAGACACGGCCCAGACUCCUACGGGAGGCAGCAGUAGGGAAUCUUCCGCAAUGGACGAAAGUCUGACGGAGCAACGCCGCGUGAGUGAUGAAGGUUUUCGGAUCGUAAAGCUCUGUUGUUAGGGAAGAACAAGUGCGAGAGUAACUGCUCGCACCUUGACGGUACCUAACCAGAAAGCCACGGCUAACUACGUGCCAGCAGCCGCGGUAAUACGUAGGUGGCAAGCGUUGUCCGGAAUUAUUGGGCGUAAAGGGCUCGCAGGCGGUUUCUUAAGUCUGAUGUGAAAGCCCCCGGCUCAACCGGGGAGGGUCAUUGGAAACUGGGAAACUUGAGUGCAGAAGAGGAGAGUGGAAUUCCACGUGUAGCGGUGAAAUGCGUAGAGAUGUGGAGGAACACCAGUGGCGAAGGCGACUCUCUGGUCUGUAACUGACGCUGAGGAGCGAAAGCGUGGGGAGCGAACAGGAUUAGAUACCCUGGUAGUCCACGCCGUAAACGAUGAGUGCUAAGUGUUAGGGGGUUUCCGCCCCUUAGUGCUGCAGCUAACGCAUUAAGCACUCCGCCUGGGGAGUACGGUCGCAAGACUGAAACUCAAAGGAAUUGACGGGGGCCCGCACAAGCGGUGGAGCAUGUGG